Long non-coding RNA from Oxyura jamaicensis (ruddy duck), 212 nucleotides. RefSeq lists it as uncharacterized. The transcript is spliced from 2 exons. The record is from RefSeq and is a predicted model, not a curated record. Lineage: Eukaryota; Metazoa; Chordata; Aves; Anseriformes; Anatidae.
UUUGCAAAGAAUUUUGAAGACAAAAGAAAUGCACAUGUCAGAGCUGAUCUAGUUUUUGUUGAGGUCUGCAGUGAAGGUGCUGUUUAGUUCAACAGGAGCUGCUGGAUUGGGUCUGAUGAAUGCAGUAGAGGUCUGUUUACAGUUUGAAUUCUGUCAUAUAUUUUCCAAACAGCCAGAACCUAACAUCUUUUAGCACUUUAUUCAGCACCUUG